UACGUAUGGGGCAAGCGUUGUCCGGAAUUAUUGGGCGUAAAGGGUACGUAGGCGGUUUAUCACGUCUAUAUUAAAAGGCAAUGGCUUAACCAGUGUAUGGGAUGGAAAGUGGUAAACUUGAGUAGAUUAGGGGAAAGUGGAAUUCCUAGUGUAGCGGUGAAAUGCUUAGAUAUUAGGAGGAACACCAGUGGCGAAGGCGGGUCUCUGGGCAGUAACUGACGCUGAGGAGCGAAAGCAUGGGGAGCGAACAGG
Molecule: ribosomal RNA, 252 nt
Filed under: uncultured bacterium
Lineage: Bacteria
Description: partial 16S ribosomal RNA
Rfam family: Bacterial small subunit ribosomal RNA
Source: RNAcentral